AUAUUACAAUUUACAGUCUACUACAGAACCAAAAAACUCUUUGCUAAGUAGGGCUUCACUGAUUCGCACUUGGCUUCACGGCUUCACUGAUUCGCACUUGGCUUCACGGCUUCACACUCCAAAAAAAAUUAGGCCUGGAGCUCCUGUAAAAGAGUGAACAACUUCAAUAUUAGUGUACUACUGCUGAGGCCAAAACCAAACAACUUUGAUAUUACAAUAGAAAGAAGUCUCAGGUUUAUCAAGCACAGCAAAACAGCAGUGUGACUGAAAACAAAAGAGGUCUCGGGUUUAGACUGAAAAGGAAGAGCUAGUUAUGCAUGAUGUCCCAGGUUUAAAGAAAAGAUCAAGACCACAAUUUUAACAAGAGAUAUAUAGUCAGUCCAAUUGAACAAAGGCUAGACAGUAGCAUUAUGAGUAUUUAAGUGGAGAUGUAGCAGACAAUCAAAUGAAUAUAUUGUGGAGACGAUGAAUAAAAUUAGGCAAUCAUCAAUGGAGAGCGUCUAAUGCUCCAAAUCAAACAAACAAAUAUGUUUAGCCAACCAAGAAGGAAACACUAACAAAACAGUGGAAUUUGAGGUGGUGAGCUAGAUGAGGUACAAACUGAGAUGAAAUUCAAUCAUCCGGUAGCAAAACAAGCUUACUAGCUAGCUAGUACACUAGAAUGUGACCAUCCAACAUGCACACACGCAUCAUGCAGGAACAUAUAUGAACAUUUUUUGUAAGGGGGACAUCAAGACCUUGUUUUGGAAGGACUAAAGAGCACUUGAAGGAGUUCCGGUCAUCAGGUGCUUCUUCACCAUCAGGCUCAUUUGUUGCUGCUGCUCAUCCUCCUACUCCAUCUACAUGGACAAGAGCAAGUUAGUUGUUUGCAUGGCAUUCACUUAAUAAAACUGCAUGUAUAUUCAUCUACAUUACUUCUUCAGUAUAGUACAGUACAAAGGAUGGAUGGGUUUGAGUUCAAAUGUUUGCUUGCACGUGUACUACUCAUAUACUUAGGCACAUGGAAAAUCAACUACAAGCAGGAACACGAUGAGCCAGAACAAGCUAGUAAGACACUAGCAGUAGAGCAACCAUAAUAUGAAGCAAACAGAGGAAUCACAAGGUAAUUCUACUAAUUUGAUUGAAAGAAUAGUGGCAAUUUCAGGAAAUGUGCUAGAUGAGGUACAAACUGAAUACUAAUACAGAUUAAAGCAGGUUGAAUGUUGAGCGGCACAUAUAAUAUGAUGGUAAGAAAAUGAUA
This 1240-nucleotide long non-coding RNA is filed under the name Triticum aestivum (bread wheat). RNAcentral's name for it is "long non-coding RNA (TAES_LNC018148)". Lineage: Eukaryota; Viridiplantae; Streptophyta; Magnoliopsida; Poales; Poaceae. The record is from RNAcentral.